Molecule: ribosomal RNA, 260 nt
Filed under: uncultured bacterium
Lineage: Bacteria
Description: partial small subunit ribosomal RNA
Rfam family: Bacterial small subunit ribosomal RNA
Source: RNAcentral
AGAAUCAACGCUGGCGGCGUGCCUAACACAUGCAAGUCGAACGAGAAAGGGGAGCAAUCCCUGAGUAAAGUGGCGACCGGGUGAGUAACACGUGACUAACCUACCCUCGAGUGUGGAAGUAACAUCGGGAAACCGAUGCUAAUACCGCAUAACAUCGGCGCUUUUAAGAGAUGCCGAUCAAAGGAGCAAUCCGCUUGAGGAGGGGUCGCGGCUGAUUAGCUAGUUGGCGGGGUAAUGGCCCACCAAGGCGAAGAUCGGUA